RNAcentral lists this ribosomal RNA (253 nucleotides) under uncultured bacterium. Its description in RNAcentral is "partial 16S ribosomal RNA". It matches the Rfam family "Bacterial small subunit ribosomal RNA", at positions 524 to 776 of the family's 1533-position model. The record is from RNAcentral.
UACGGAGGGUGCAAGCGUUGUUCGGAAUUACUGGGCGUAAAGGGCGCGUAGGCGGUCUGUUAAGUUCGGUGUGAAAGCCCCCGGCUCACCUGGGGAACUGCGCCGGAAACCGACAGACUCGAGUACCGGAGAGGAGGGUGGAAUUCCUGGUGUAGCGGUGAAAUGCGUAGAUAUCAGGAGGAACACCGGUGGCGAAGGCGGCCCCCUGGACGGAUACUGACGCUGAGGCGCGAAAGCGUGGGGAGCAAACAGG